RNAcentral lists this ribosomal RNA (305 nucleotides) under uncultured bacterium. Its description in RNAcentral is "partial 16S ribosomal RNA". It matches the Rfam family "Bacterial small subunit ribosomal RNA", at positions 505 to 809 of the family's 1533-position model. The record is from RNAcentral.
ACAGCAGCAGCCGCGGGAACACGGAGGAUCCAAGCGUUAUCCGGAAUCAUUGGGUUUAAAGGGUCCGUAGGCGGUCUUGUAAGUCAGUGGUGAAAGCCCAUCGCUCAACGGUGGAACGGCCAUUGAUACUGCAGGACUUGAAUUAUUGGGAAGUAACUAGAAUAUGUAGUGUAGCGGUGAAAUGCUUAGAGAUUACAUGGAAUACCAAUUGCGAAGGCAGGUUACUACCAAUUGAUUGACGCUGAUGGACGAAAGCGUGGGUAGCGAACAGGAUUAGAUACCCGAGUAGUCCCUGUCUCUUAUAA